GAAGGUGGCCUGUGAGGGUUGCUGGAGGUAUCAGAAGUGCGAAUGCUGACAUAAGUAACGAUAAAGCGGGUGAAAAGCCCGCUCGCCGGAAGACCAAGGGUUCCUGUCCAACGUUAAUCGGGGCAGGGUGAGUCGACCCCUAAGGCGAGGCCGAAAGGCGUAGUCGAUGGGAAACGGGUUAAUAUUCCCGUACUUGGUGUUACUGCGAAGGGGGGACGGAGAAGGCUAUGUUGGCCGGGCGACGGUUGUCCCGGUUUAAGCGUGUAGGUGUGUGUUCCAGGUAAAUCCGGUUCACUUUAACACUGAGGCGUGACGACGAGGCACUACGGUGCUGAAGCAACAAAUGCCCUGCUUCCAGGAAAAGCCUCUAAGCAUCAGGUAACAUCAAAUCGUACCCCAAACCGACACAGGUGGUCAGGUAGAGAAUACCAAGGCGCUUGAGAGAACUCGGGUGAAGGAACUAGGCAAAAUGGUGCCGUAACUUCGGGAGAAGGCACGCUGACACGUAGGUGAAGUGAUUUACUCAUGGAGCUGAAGUCAGUCGAAGAUACCAGCUGGCUGCAACUGUUUAUUAAAAACACAGCACUGUGCAAACACGAAAGUGGACGUAUACGGUGUGACGCCUGCCCGGUGCCGGAAGGUUAAUUGAUGGGGUCAGCGCAAGCGAAGCUCCUGAUCGAAGCCCCGGUAAACGGCGGCCGUAACUAUAACGGUCCUAAGGUAGCGAAAUUCCUUGUCGGGUAAGUUCCGACCUGCACGAAUGGCGUAAUGAUGGCCAGGCUGUCUCCACCCGAGACUCAGUGAAAUUGAACUCGCUGUGAAGAUGCAGUGUACCCGCGGCAAGACGGAAAGACCCCGUGAACCUUUACUAUAGCUUGACACUGAACAUUGAGCCUUGAUGUGUAGGAUAGGUGGGAGGCUU
RNAcentral lists this ribosomal RNA (922 nucleotides) under Salmonella enterica subsp. enterica serovar Mbandaka. RNAcentral's name for it is "partial 23S ribosomal RNA". It matches the Rfam family "Bacterial large subunit ribosomal RNA", at positions 1252 to 2157 of the family's 2925-position model. The record is from RNAcentral. Lineage: Bacteria; Pseudomonadati; Pseudomonadota; Gammaproteobacteria; Enterobacterales; Enterobacteriaceae.